Molecule: ribosomal RNA, 1056 nt
Filed under: Triticum aestivum (bread wheat)
Lineage: Eukaryota; Viridiplantae; Streptophyta; Magnoliopsida; Poales; Poaceae
Description: partial small subunit ribosomal RNA
Source: RNAcentral
AUGAACAUUGCCCUCCUGACUCGGUGGCUUUGGUGGAUUGCCAACGGAGAUGGUGGCCUGUGGCUUUGCAUCAUUCAGCAGAAAUACCUCCGUGGCCAACCUCUUGCUUUCUGCCAGCGGUCUGGGGGCUCCCAGUUCUGGCAAUCUGUCAUCCAGCUCCUCCCAGUCCUCCGGAUCGGGACCUCGAUCGAGGUUGGAUCCGGCACUGCCACUCUGUUUUGGUUUGAUAGAUGGACUGGCGACUUGCCCCUCGCGGCCCGCUUUCCCGAUCUGUUCUCCAUAGCGGUUGCCCCACAGAUCUCGGUUGCGACAGCCGUUAUUGACUUGGGGCAACUCGCGUUCCGGAGACCUUUUGGCCCGGCCGAGACCGCCGACUGGCAGGAGCUGCUCGACUGCAUUGCCUUGCACGAGCCUAAUCUUAUGACCGAAGAUGACCGUUCUAGUUGGCGACUAGAGCCUUCUGGACAAUUCUCCACCAAAUCUCUUUACCAGGCCAUCGCCCCAUCGCCUGGCCAUGAGGCACUCACCUGCAUCUGGGAGAUUCGCCUGCCCCUGAAGAUUAGGAUCUUCUUGUGGCAAUGGAUUCACGGUCGCCUCCCGUCUGGCGUGGAGGUCCUGAAGCGCAAUGGCCCUGGUGAUGGGCGCUGCCCGCUCUGCGGGCCGGAAGAGGACUCGAAUCAUAUCUUCUUCACUUGCGUGUCCGCGCAGUUCCUAUGGAGUUGUUUCCACGAGAUAGUGGGUGGAAGCUGGGACCACAAUAACUUCCCCGCUCUCUUCGCCGAACUCCAGGCAAUCCCAUCCGCAGUGCGCCGCAUUAGGUGGCUGGCCAUUGGGGUGCUUGCCUGGACGCUGUGGACUGUUAGGAAUAAACUUGUGAUUCAGCGCAUUCCUCUUCGCCGUGCUACUGACGCUUGUUCAAAUGGUCUGGUUACUUGCAGCUUUGGCGGCCGUUUAGCCGCCCCAGGAAGAGAGAUGCCAUCACCUCCAUCAUCACCCAGCUUCGCGCGAUGGCUCUCCGGAUGGCUCCACAGCUUCCCCCACCAUCACCGGAACUAG